CACACACACACGCACACACACACACACACACACACACACGUUUCCAUAGAGAGAGGUUCCACUUUGCAUUAGCAGCUCAUGCUUCAGCGCUCUGCGAGUGUUUAUAGCCCUGUGACUUUAACACUUCAUGACUGAGAGCUGCUGCUCAGCGACUUCACCCACAGCAACCAUGAGUUUGAUCAGCGUCUUCAUCUGCACACUGGCCCUCUGCGCUCGAGGAUCCAGAGGUCAGGUGACUGUGACUCAGAGUCCUGCAGUGAAAUCUGUUUCUCCAGGAGACACACUCACCAUCAGCUGUAAAACCAGUCCUGCUGUUUACCGCUAUAGUAGCUAUUACUAUUUGUCCUGGUAUCAGCAGAAAGCUGGAGAAGCUCCUAAACUCCUGAUCUAUGCAGCUAGCAGGAGAGCAUCAGGUAUUCCAGCUCGUUUCAGUGGCAGUGGAUCUGGAUCUGAUUUCACUCUGACCAUCAGUGGAGUCCAGACUGAAGAUGCUGGAGAUUAUUACUGUCAGAGUUUACAUUCUAUCAGUAGUAGCGAUGUGUUCACACAGUGUUAGAGCGUCGUACAAAAACCUGGGUGAGUGUGACUGCUGCAGCUGGGACCUACUGCAGGUGCUGAGGGGGACGAUGUGAUACAGCACAAUGAGACACACUGUGGAGGAGA
Pangasianodon hypophthalmus (striped catfish) is the source of this 663-nucleotide non-coding RNA. Lineage: Eukaryota; Metazoa; Chordata; Actinopteri; Siluriformes; Pangasiidae. The record is from the annotation of a RefSeq genome assembly.